RNAcentral lists this unclassified non-coding RNA (714 nucleotides) under Hevea brasiliensis (rubber tree). Lineage: Eukaryota; Viridiplantae; Streptophyta; Magnoliopsida; Malpighiales; Euphorbiaceae. The record is from RNAcentral.
GCUCCUUAGUGCUUUACCUCAUGAAAGUCAUACUGCAAGGGUUGCUUUUCUUGCACCGAAAUCCAUCUCUCCACAAAAGAUGGCUUGUGUGGUUCAUCUUGCAGGCACUGGAGAUCAUUCAUUUGAACGAAGAUUGCGUCUUGGUGCACCAUUGUUGAAGCAAAACAUUGCAACCAUGGUGCUGGAGAGCCCUUUCUAUGGACACAGACGCCCUAUGCUGCAGCGUGGUGCAAAACUCUUGUGUGUUAGUGACUUGCUAUUAUUAGGCAGAGCAACCAUUGAGGAGACACGCAGUCUUCUACAUUGGCUUGACUUCGAGGCAGGGUUUGGCAAGAUGGGUGUUUGUGGAUUUAGCAUGGGNNNNNNNNNCAUGCUGCAAUGGUUGGAUCACUGUACCCCACACCCGUUGCAACCCUUCCUUUUCUCUCCCCACAUUCUGCUGUUGUGGCAUUCUGUGAGGGGAUAUUGAGGCAUGGCACUGCAUGGGAUGCACUGAGAAAGGAUCUUGUCAAGAGACUGCAAUGACUCUAGAGGAGGUGCAAAAACGGAUGCGAAAUGUAUUGUCUCUCACAGAUGUCACGCGCUUUCCAAUUCCUAAGAAUCCCAGUGCUGUAAUAUUUGUUGCUGCAACUGACGAUGGCUACAUACCAAAACAUUCUGUUUUGGAGCUUCAAAAGGCCUGGCCAGGUUCAGAGGUGAGAUGGGUUACUGGAG